Gallus gallus (chicken) is the source of this 3447-nucleotide long non-coding RNA. RefSeq lists it as uncharacterized. The record is from RefSeq and is a predicted model, not a curated record. Lineage: Eukaryota; Metazoa; Chordata; Aves; Galliformes; Phasianidae. The transcript has 7 exons.
GUGAUGGCAAAAUCGCUCCUUUCCGCGCUGCGGAGAAAAGCCCCCUGUUCGGAGGAAAGCAGCCGGCUGAAGUCGCUCUCUGCCGGCUACCGAAUUGCCCGAAUGCGCGGCUGUCGGCAGCAAGCGGCAUUCGGGGACGCGACCGAACGCUUUGCCUAGCUGUUCUCCGCGACUGAGGAUUUCUGCCGAUAAGAGCGGACUCGGGCAGUUCCGUAGUUUCCUUUUGCAAGAGAAAAUUUUUCGUCUUUAGGAAAAAAGUAAUACUGUCGGGGAAAACAAUGUUGUCUUCCCGAGAAGACCGUAUUUUGGGAGAUCACAACUGCUAGCGCUACUCAACGUGCCAGUCACCUCUUUGACGGAGAGUCUUUGUUCCUUCUCUCCUCCGUAACAGAAAGUCAGAGUGCAGCAAUGGAGAAAGAGAGAGAAACGAACUCUCUCCAAAUUAAGCGCCAGUGGCUCUGAAUGGUGGCUCCAGGAGAUGUGCUUUCGGCGAGAACGCAAGGUGAUGGCAAAAUCGCUCCUUUCCGCGCUGCGGAGAAAAGCCCCCUGUUCGGAGGAAAGCAGCCGGCUGAAGUCGCUCUCUGCCGGCUACCGAAUUGCCCGAAUGCGCGGCUGUCGGCAGCAAGCGGCAUUCGGGGACGCGACCGAACGCUUUGCCUAGCUGUUCUCCGCGACUGAGGAUUUCUGCCGAUAAGAGCGGACUCGGGCAGUUCCGUAGUUUCCUUUUGCAAGAGAAAAUUUUUCGUCUUUAGGAAAAAAGUAAUACUGUCGGGGAAAACAAUGUUGUCUUCCCGAGAAGACCGUAUUUUGGGAGAUCACAACUGCUAGCGCUACUCAACGUGCCAGUCACCUCUUUGACGGAGAGUCUUUGUUCCUUCUCUCCUCCGUAACAGAAAGUCAGAGUGCAGCAAUGGAGAAAGAGAGAGAAACGAACUCUCUCCAAAUUAAGCGCCAGUGGCUCUGAAUGGUGGCUCCAGGAGAUGUGCUUUCGGCGAGAACGCAAGGUGAUGGCAAAAUCGCUCCUUUCCGCGCUGCGGAGAAAAGCCCCCUGUUCGGAGGAAAGCAGCCGGCUGAAGUCGCUCUCUGCCGGCUACCGAAUUGCCCGAAUGCGCGGCUGUCGGCAGCAAGCGGCAUUCGGGGACGCGACCGAACGCUUUGCCUAGCUGUUCUCCGCGACUGAGGAUUUCUGCCGAUAAGAGCGGACUCGGGCAGUUCCGUAGUUUCCUUUUGCAAGAGAAAAUUUUUCGUCUUUAGGAAAAAAGUAAUACUGUCGGGGAAAACAAUGUUGUCUUCCCGAGAAGACCGUAUUUUGGGAGAUCACAACUGCUAGCGCUACUCAACGUGCCAGUCACCUCUUUGACGGAGAGUCUUCGUUCCUUCUCUCCUCCGUAACAGAAAGUCAGAGUGCAGCAAUGGAGAAAGAGAGAGAAACGAACUCUCUCCAAAUUAAGCGCCAGUGGCUCUGAAUGGUGGCUCCAGGAGAUGUGCUUUCGGCGAGAACGCAAGGUGAUGGCAAAAUCGCUCCUUUCCGCGCUGCGGAGAAAAGCCCCCUGUUCGGAGGAAAGCAGCCGGCUGAAGUCGCUCUCUGCCGGCUACCGAAUUGCCCGAAUGCGCGGCUGUCGGCAGCAAGCGGCAUUCGGGGACGCGACCGAACGCUUUGCCUAGCUGUUCUCCGCGACUGAGGAUUUCUGCCGAUAAGAGCGGACUCGGGCAGUUCCGUAGUUUCCUUUUGCAAGAGAAAAUUUUUCGUCUUUAGGAAAAAAGUAAUACUGUCGGGGAAAACAAUGUUGUCUUCCCGAGAAGACCGUAUUUUGGGAGAUCACAACUGCUAGCGCUACUCAACGUGCCAGUCACCUCUUUGACGGAGAGUCUUCGUUCCUUCUCUCCUCCGUAACAGAAAGUCAGAGUGCAGCAAUGGAGAAAGAGAGAGAAACGAACUCUCUCCAAAUUAAGCGCCAGUGGCUCUGAAUGGUGGCUCCAGGAGAUGUGCUUUCGGCGAGAACGCAAGGUGAUGGCAAAAUCGCUCCUUUCCGCGCUGCGGAGAAAAGCCCCCUGUUCGGAGGAAAGCAGCCGGCUGAAGUCGCUCUCUGCCGGCUACCGAAUUGCCCGAAUGCGCGGCUGUCGGCAGCAAGCGGCAUUCGGGGACGCGACCGAACGCUUUGCCUAGCUGUUCUCCGCGACUGAGGAUUUCUGCCGAUAAGAGCGGACUCGGGCAGUUCCGUAGUUUCCUUUUGCAAGAGAAAAUUUUUCGUCUUUAGGAAAAAAGUAAUACUGUCGGGGAAAACAAUGUUGUCUUCCCGAGAAGACCGUAUUUUGGGAGAUCACAACUGCUAGCGCUACUCAACGUGCCAGUCACCUCUUUGACGGAGAGUCUUUGUUCCUUCUCUCCUCCGUAACAGAAAGUCAGAGUGCAGCAAUGGAGAAAGAGAGAGAAACGAACUCUCUCCAAAUUAAGCGCCAGUGGCUCUGAAUGGUGGCUCCAGGAGAUGUGCUUUCGGCGAGAACGCAAGGUGAUGGCAAAAUCGCUCCUUUCCGCGCUGCGGAGAAAAGCCCCCUGUUCGGAGGAAAGCAGCCGGCUGAAGUCGCUCUCUGCCGGCUACCGAAUUGCCCGAAUGCGCGGCUGUCGGCAGCAAGCGGCAUUCGGGGACGCGACCGAACGCUUUGCCUAGCUGUUCUCCGCGACUGAGGAUUUCUGCCGAUAAGAGCGGACUCGGGCAGUUCCGUAGUUUCCUUUUGCAAGAGAAAAUUUUUCGUCUUUAGGAAAAAAGUAAUACUGUCGGGGAAAACAAUGUUGUCUUCCCGAGAAGACCGUAUUUUGGGAGAUCACAACUGCUAGCGCUACUCAACGUGCCAGUCACCUCUUUGACGGAGAGUCUUUGUUCCUUCUCUCCUCCGUAACAGAAAGUCAGAGUGCAGCAAUGGAGAAAGAGAGAGAAACGAACUCUCUCCAAAUUAAGCGCCAGUGGCUCUGAAUGGUGGCUCCAGGAGAUGUGCUUUCGGCGAGAACGCAAGGUGAUGGCAAAAUCGCUCCUUUCCGCGCUGCGGAGAAAAGCCCCCUGUUCGGAGGAAAGCAGCCGGCUGAAGUCGCUCUCUGCCGGCUACCGAAUUGCCCGAAUGCGCGGCUGUCGGCAGCAAGCGGCAUUCGGGGACGCGACCGAACGCUUUGCCUAGCUGUUCUCCGCGACUGAGGAUUUCUGCCGAUAAGAGCGGACUCGGGCAGUUCCGUAGUUUCCUUUUGCAAGAGAAAAUUUUUCGUCUUUAGGAAAAAAGUAAUACUGUCGGGGAAAACAAUGUUGUCUUCCCGAGAAGACCGUAUUUUGGGGUAAGAUCUAGCAUUGCUGUGGGAACACUUACCUUUUGCUGGAAUGUCAUGUUGUGGUGGGAAAAGAGUUGGAGAAAAGAAAUUCUCGACUUUGCGAGAAAAGCUUGAUUUCUGAAGGGGAGUUG